Molecule: ribosomal RNA, 1321 nt
Filed under: Helicana wuana
Lineage: Eukaryota; Metazoa; Arthropoda; Malacostraca; Decapoda; Varunidae
Description: 16S ribosomal RNA
Rfam family: Archaeal large subunit ribosomal RNA (bases 622-1321)
Source: RNAcentral
AAUGAUAAAUAACUUGUUUUUAAAAAAAAAUAAUAUUUGCGUUAAGAAAAAUAAUUUAAUAAAAGAAAAUUGUUAGUAAUUUUUAAUAAAUUCAAAUACUUAGGCUAUAGUAAAAAGUACUGUAAAGGAAAGGAAAAAUAAAAUUUUUUAUAGUAAAUUUUAAAAUUUGUACCUUGUGUAUCAGGGAAAAUUUAUAUAAAUUAAGAAAGUUAAAUGUCUCGAAAUAAAAUAUAGCUAAUUUUAUAAAAAAUUUUUUGUAGAAAAUAAAUUUUGAAUAUAAAAUUAAAGGUGAAACACUAAUCGAGUUUUAUAAUAUCUAGUUUUUUAAAAAUAAAUUUAAUUUAACUUUUAGAUCUACAAAAUUUAAAAUUAAAGUGUAGGAGGGAUUAGCUUCUUAUAAACUAAAAUGUAAAACAGUUAAAAAUAAGAUUAAUUAGUGAAUUAAGCUUAAAAGUAGCUAUAUUUAUAAAGUGUUUUAACUAAACUAAAGUCCAAUAUUAUUUGUACAAACUUUUUAUAAUAUUAAAAAAUUAAUUAAAAUUAAAAGAGUUAAAUUAUAAUGAUUUUAUCAGUAGAAAUUUUAUAUGAACAAAAUAACUAAAAUAAUAAAAGUUGUUUAAAAAUUAGUAUUUUAAUAUAGAGGAACUCGGCAAAAAUAUUUUCUUUGCCUGUUUAUCAAAAACAUGUCUAUUUGGAGAUAUAAAAAGUUUAACCUGCCCACUGAUAAAAGUAAAUUGAAUGGCCGCGGUAUUUUGACCGUGCAAAGGUAGCAUAAUCGUUAGUUUUUUAAUUGGAAUCUUGUAUGAAUGGUUGGACAAAAGAAAAUCUGUCUUUAUAUUAUUUAUUGAAUUUAACUUUUAAGUGAAAAGGCUUAAAUGGAUUAAAGGGACGAUAAGACCCUAUAAAGCUUAAUAUUAAAAUUUUAUUUAGUUGAAUUUUAUUAUAAAAACUUAGUAAUUAAAUUUAUUUUAUUGGGGCGAUAAGAGUAAAAUGGCCAUUAACUGCUUAAUUUUAUAUACACUUAUGAGUGAUUAAUUUUUUAGAUGAUCCUAAGUAAAGAUUAAAAGUUUAAGUUACUUUAGGGAUAACAGCGUUAUUUUUCUUAAGAGUACUUAUCGAAAGAAAAGUUUGCGACCUCGAUGUUGAAUUAAAAUGUCUUUAUAAUUGCAGCAGUUAUAGAAGUAGGUCUGUUCGACCUUUAAAAUUUUACAUGAUUUGAGUUCAGACCGGCGCAAGCCAGGUUGGUUUCUAUCUUUUAACAAAAAGAAAUUAUUUUAGUACGAAAGGAUUAAAUAAUUAAAAUUAUUUUUAAAUGUGAUUU